GUGAGGUUUUGGUUUGGAUGCGUGCAUCUCCAGCCUCCUCCCAAGUCCUACUCCUACUACUGAACAGAGAGAGGGACAGAGCAUUCCCCUCCUCCAACCUCCCCCCCAGCUGCCUCCCCUCCCAAAGCUCCCCACUUCUCUCGCUCCGGCGUCGCAUUCGCCCCGGCCGCCCCGCCGAUUCCCUCGGGUCUUAUCCUCGCUCGCGGCCUGCCGUCAGCGGGGCUCCCCUCCGCUCGGAGUCUCCCCCGCGCCCCGCCGAAUUUCUUGGGUCAUUCUCUCCGGCGGCUCCGGGUGCGGGCUUUCGGUCCGGGGCGCCGCGGCCCACGAUCAUUGCUGGAGGAGAGCUUUUUCCGCGGAUGGGUUUGGUUCGGAGUCUGGAGUACCUGCGGCGUCCAUAGGUUAGAUCUGGAGGUUUCGGCGCUCUGGAUCUGAGCUGUUGGUUUCGGGUGGAGGAGUCGGGACUGGCGGUCGCAAUCCUCCCAACCAUUUUGGUGCUGUCCGUUCUGGGUUACUAGGGGGUUUGCGUGUUCUAAAUAGGGCAUGGAUGGCAGAUGCAGUAACUACUAGUAUCUCUUGAAGAAACUUCAGCUGCAGAUCUGAAACCCAUUUGUGCCCCUUGCUCUAGUUGCAGCCCUGCCAGAUGAGGUGAACCAGGCCGCUUUCCAGUGUCCCCUUGCCAUUGCUUGUUGCCAGUGUUGGUUGCCAGUUUUGGCUCAACAAAUCUGGGUGGAGCCUGAUCUGUCCAAGCCAGCAUUAGUUGUGUGCUCUCUGCGUCUGGUUGAGCAAGGUUGCAGCUAAUUUUGUUGAUUUCGUUGGCUUUGUUUAGUAGCUUUGAUAACCUGGAGACUGCAAGCAAACAGAUCCCGUCCUGCAGCUCUAGUAAUAAGGUGGUGCUGGGGGAAGGCACCAUGACCUACUUUCCCGAGGAGGUGGUGGAGCACAUAUUCAGCUUCUUGCCUGCGCAGUGUGACCGGAACACGGUUUCACUUGUUUGCAAGGUAUGGUAUGAGAUUGAAAGGCUGAGCCGGCGAACUGUCUUUGUGGGUAACUGCUAUGCUGUGCGCCCUGAGCGUGUGGUGCUUCGGUUCCCCAAUGUGCGGGCACUGACAGUGAAGGGGAAACCACACUUCGCUGAUUUCAACCUUGUGCCACCUGAUUGGGGUGGGUAUGCCGGACCAUGGAUCGAGGCAGCAGCCAGGCGCUGCGUGGGUCUUGAGGAGCUGCGGAUGAAGCGGAUGGUGGUGUCAGAUGAGAGCCUGGAGCUGCUUGCCAAAUCAUUCCCACGAUUCAGGGCCCUAGUUCUUAUCAGCUGUGAGGGGUUCAGCACCGAUGGACUAGCAGCUAUUGCAAGUCACUGCAAACUCUUGAGGGAGUUAGAUUUGCAGGAAAAUGAGGUGGAUGAUCGAGGGCCAAGGUGGCUCUCCUGCUUCCCUGAUUCCUGCACGUCCCUUGUCUCCUUGAAUUUCGCCUGCAUCAAAGGGGAGGUUAAUGCUGGUUCAUUAGAGAGACUUGUUGCUAGGUCCCCAAGUCUUCGGAGUUUGAGGUUGAAUCGAUCUGUGUCAGUAGAUACACUCUCGAAGAUAUUAAUGCGCGCCCCUAAUUUGGAGGAUCUAGGGACUGGGAACUUGACAGAUGACUUCCAAGCUGAAUCGUAUCUCAGGCUGACCCUUGCAUUGGAGAAAUGCAAACUGCUGAGGAGUUUGUCGGGCUUUUGGGAUGCCUCCCCUUUGUGCCUUCCAUUCAUCUAUCCUGUAUGUGGGCAACUAACAGGUUUAAAUUUGAGCUAUGCUCCGACACUUGAUUCUUCCGAUCUCACCAAAAUGAUCAGCCACUGUGUGAAACUCCAACGUCUUUGGGUACUGGAUUGCAUCGCGGAUAAGGGCUUGCAAGUGGUGGCCUCCAGUUGCAAGGAUCUACAAGAACUCAGGGUAUUCCCGUCAGACUUCUAUAUCGCCGGGUAUUCCCCAGUAACAGAGGAGGGACUUGUUGCAAUAUCCUUGGGCUGUCAAAAACUGAGCUCAUUGCUAUAUUUUUGUCAUCAAAUGACGAAUGCCGCACUGCUUACUAUAGCUAAGAACCGCCCAAAUUUCACGCGAUUCAGACUCUGUAUCCUUGAGCCUGGGAAGCCUGAUGCCAUGACAAACCAACCAUUAGAUGAAGGUUUUGGUGCUAUUGUUCGUGAAUGCAAAGGGCUAAGGCGAUUGUCAAUAUCGGGUCUUCUCACCGACAAGGUUUUCAUGUAUAUUGGUAAAUUCGCGAAACAACUUGAGAUGCUUUCAAUAGCAUUUGCUGGAGAUAGUGAUGCGGGAAUGAUGCAUGUUAUGGAAGGAUGCAAUAAUUUGAGGAAGCUGGAGAUUAGAGAUAGCCCAUUUGGUGAUGCUGCACUCUUGGAGAAUGUUACCAAGUAUGAGACAAUGCGAUCCCUUUGGAUGUCAUCGUGCAAUGUCACAGAAAAAGGGUGCCAAAUCCUUGCAUCAAAGAUGCCAAUGCUUAAUGUGGAGGUUAUAAAUGAGGUGGAUGAGAGCAAUGAAAUGGACGAGAACCAUGGAAUCCCCAAAGUUGACAAGUUAUAUGUUUACCGCACAACUGCUGGGGCAAGGGAUGAUGCGCCAAAUUUUGUUAAAAUCCUAUAGAGCUAGUUGAGAAUUGCCUGGUAUCUCCUUGCUGUAAAAGAUGGUCGGCGGAAUGGAAUCCGGCGGGGGCCUGUGGACAGUGGCAAGUCUCCCGCUGCCCCCCUCGGCUUUGCAGCGCCAGGAGAAGCCACGUCAGUGUGCUCCUUAUCCUGGAGCAUCUCUGUCCGGCGAUCCAUCAUUCCCUUUUUAGCGGCUGGUCAUAUGGCCACUGCCUUUAUCCUGUGCAUUUUUCUUUUUCUUAAGAGGACCACCCACCAACCAAUCCUUCCUUUUCCUUUUUCCUGUACUAUGCUGUACUCCGUAGCCAUUUGCUUUUGACAUUGCCACAGUGGAAUGUGACUGCUGUCGCUGUUGCUCUUGUUGUAAACGUUUGUUUGAACCUGACCGAAAGGACGAUGGCCAAUGAUCUUGCUCCCGUGAAAUCAUGCAGCAGAGGCUGGAAUAAUUUGUUGCUCAUCAGCACAUUACUUCAUUUUCG
This 3111-nucleotide ribosomal RNA is filed under the name Triticum aestivum (bread wheat). Its description in RNAcentral is "partial small subunit ribosomal RNA". Lineage: Eukaryota; Viridiplantae; Streptophyta; Magnoliopsida; Poales; Poaceae. The record is from RNAcentral.